AUGCCUUAAACUUAUGAGUAAGGAGAACAAUGAUUGGGCGUGAUACCAGAAUGUUCACGGCCAAUGUGAGAUGUAUUAUUGAGCUGGUGAAGGUGGCCCUCAGGGUGACCUGCCUCCUUUGCUGGAUGCCUGGGAGUCAUGAUCUGCCUG
Small nuclear RNA from Mustela putorius furo (domestic ferret), 150 nucleotides. Its record names the gene U12. It matches the Rfam family "U12 minor spliceosomal RNA". From Rfam's summary of the family: Although the U12 sequence is very divergent from that of U2, the two are functionally analogous. The record is from Ensembl. NCBI's taxonomy places the organism in Eukaryota, Metazoa, Chordata, Mammalia, Carnivora, Mustelidae.